Molecule: transfer RNA, 69 nt
Filed under: Stolotermes victoriensis
Lineage: Eukaryota; Metazoa; Arthropoda; Insecta; Blattodea; Termopsidae
Description: tRNA-Tyr
Rfam family: tRNA
About the family: Transfer RNA (tRNA) molecules are approximately 80 nucleotides in length. Their secondary structure includes four short double-helical elements and three loops (D, anti-codon, and T loops).
Source: RNAcentral
AGUAGAAUGGCUGAGGUUUAAAAGGUGAUAGACUGUAAAUCUAUUGAGGGGUGUGGUUCUCUUCUACUA